GGCAGUGACGUGGUGUUUCAGUAGACUGUCCUACCAACCUAUACCCUGCUCCCGUCGCCCAGUCAUAUCACCUCUUGCAUCCCUCUUCGAUAUUGAUUGGCUGGAAGUUUCAGGGAAGAUAAUCUUCAUUUACUGCCAGACGCAUAGAGGAAAAGUGCUACAGGAAAAGUUACUUAGAUAUCUACAUGUACACGAGGUGUUGGGAGGAACAGUGCUGAUAUUGUCGUGGCUAUGGGAUUGUACCAGAGCAACGUGGUGCUCAACCUGCUGGUGGUGGUGAUUGCCGCAGUGCUCAUCACCCGUUACGUCAUCACUAACUUCUCCACACUCUUCCCCUGGGCACUUCACCCCUGUAGUCAACAAUGUAUAGAUGUGUACUUCAAGGGUCCACCGAAAGUUACUGACCCGGCUCUCCUCUCCAUGGUGAAGGAGUCCUACCUGACGCCUCCCCCGGCUAACCCAGACACCACUCCUUUUGAUAUUGAUGAGCAUGUGUGGAAUAGACUAGUGGACUGGAACGUGAUGCAGGAAAAUCUUAAGGAGAUAUGGAAGAACCAGGCUCCUGGGGUGUUCGUGGAGGUAGGGGUAGUGGAUGGGGAGUUCAUGAGCCAGACGCUGAUGUUGGAGAAGAACUAUAGCUGGACUGGUCUGUUGAUAGAGCCAGACCCUCGCUCCUUCCGAAUCCUACAGGAGCGCCGCCGAAACGCUUGGACCUCUCCUGUCUGUAUCCACUACAGUCACCCAGAGUCGAAAAAGUACUGGCUGCGAGACUUGGAAGAGGAGCUGCCUGACCACUUCUUGCAGCUGCUGAUGGCCCGUAGUAAGCUGGCCGACGAAACACUCACUGGGGAACAGGUGUUGUGCAGGAUGAGGAGCGAGGGAUCUACAUAUCGGUGCCAUGCAUGCCACUCUCCACCCUCCUACUGGCUGCCAACAUCACCUCCAUAGAUCUCCUCGCCUCAGCUACUGGAGUUGAUAAAGAUGAAAAAAGAAUCAAAGAUGUCAUCAACAGUAAAACUUUCGAUGUUAAGAUGCUGCUUCUCCACUUCCCAACGGGGCGAUUGUUUGAUGACCCCUACCCAUAUAUCCCUGGCUAUAUAAUAGACAUGGAGCACUCCACACUGCUGGUCAAGCUCUA
RNAcentral lists this unclassified non-coding RNA (1138 nucleotides) under Homarus americanus (American lobster). RNAcentral's name for it is "uncharacterized LOC121868377, transcript variant X4". The record is from RNAcentral. Lineage: Eukaryota; Metazoa; Arthropoda; Malacostraca; Decapoda; Nephropidae.